Molecule: long non-coding RNA, 332 nt
Organism: Arabidopsis thaliana (thale cress)
Lineage: Eukaryota; Viridiplantae; Streptophyta; Magnoliopsida; Brassicales; Brassicaceae
Product: other RNA
Exons: 1
Source: RefSeq
UUUGGACCGUCUCCAUCAAGGGCUGGUGGGUGGUAAUGGAUCGGAGGUUGCCGCUCUCUUUCUCUAUCAAAAUCUUGCUUUAGUACCAAAACCUUAUUCGCCUCUCUUUUCUCCCGAAGCUUUUGCAACAAUUUAAGUCUCUCUAUCUCACUCGGGGUUAUUAAAAGACAUAGACUAUGAUUGAGAAGGACAGAGAGAGAGAGAGACAAAGUAGUAUAGAUUAUUAGGACACGGUUGUACACUUUUUCAUGUGUCUUCUUCUCUCUUUUUCUUAUUCUUAUUCAUCAUCAUCACCGUCUGAUCUUCUUUAUUAACCCUACUCUCUUUCUCUU